This 587-nucleotide ribosomal RNA is filed under the name uncultured bacterium. Its description in RNAcentral is "partial 16S ribosomal RNA". It matches the Rfam family "Bacterial small subunit ribosomal RNA", at positions 355 to 1375 of the family's 1533-position model. The record is from RNAcentral.
UGGGGAAUUUUGGACAAUGGGCGAAAGCCUGAUCCAGCAAUGCCGCGUGUGUGAAGAAGGCCUUCGGGUUGUAAAGCACUUUUGUCCGGAAAGAAAUCCUUGGCUCUAAUACAGUCGGGGGAUGACGGUACCGGAAGAAUAAGCACCGGCUAACUACGUGCCAGCAGCCGCGGUAAUACGUAGGGUGCAAGCGUUAAUCGGAAUUACUGGGCGUAAAGCGUGCGCAGGCGGUUUGCUAAGACCGAUGUGAAAUCCCCGGGCUCAACCUGGGAACUGCAUUGGUGACUGGCAGGCUAGAGUAUGGCAGAGGGGGGUAGAAUUCCACGUGUAGCAGUGAAAUGCGUAGAGAUGUGGAGGAAUACCGAUGGCGAAGGCAGCCCCCUGGGCCAAUACUGACGCUCAUGCACGAAAGCGUGGGGAGCAAACAGGAUUAGAUACCCUGGUAGUCCCACGCCCUAAACGAUGUCAACUAGUUGUUGGGGAUUCAUUUUCCUUAGUAACGUAGCUAACGCGUGAAGUUGACCGCCUGGGGAGUACGGUCGCAAGAUUAAAACUCAAAUGAAUUGACGGGGUCAUAGCUGUUUCCU